RNAcentral lists this ribosomal RNA (342 nucleotides) under uncultured bacterium. Its description in RNAcentral is "bacterial SSU rRNA". It matches the Rfam family "Bacterial small subunit ribosomal RNA", at positions 917 to 1264 of the family's 1533-position model. The record is from RNAcentral.
GGGCCCGCACAAGCGGUGGAGCAUGUGGUUUAAUUCGAUGAUACGCGAGGAACCUUACCAGGGCUUAAAUGGGAAAUGACAGGGGCAGAGACGCCCCUUCUUCGGACAUUUUUCAAGGUGCUGCAUGGUUGUCGUCAGCUCGUGCCGUGAGGUGUCAGGUUAAGUCCUAUAACGAGCGCAACCCCUACCGUUAGUUGCCAGCGUGUAAUGACGGGGACUCUAGCGAGACUGCCGGUGCAAACCGAGAGGAAGGUGGGGAUACGUCAAAUCAUCACGGCCCUUACGUCCUGGCUACACACGUGCUACAAUGGCCGGUACAGAGAGCAGCCACCACGCGAGUGG